UGGGGAAUAUUGGACAAUGGGCGAAAGCCUGAUCCAGCCAUGCCGCGUGUGUGAAGAAGGUCUUUUGGUUGUAAAGCACUUUAAGUGGGGAGGAAAAGCUUAUGGUUAAUACCCAUAAGCCCUGACGUUACCCACAGAAUAAGCACCGGCUAACUCUGUGCCAGCAGCCGCGGUAAUACAGAGGGUGCAAGCGUUAAUCGGAAUUACUGGGCGUAAAGCGCGCGUAGGUGGUUAUUUAAGUCAGAUGUGAAAGCCCCGGGCUUAACCUGGGAACUGCAUCUGAUACUGGAUAACUAGAGUAGGUAAGAGGGGAGUAGAAUUCCAGGUGUAGCGGUGAAAUGCGUAGAGAUCUGGAGGAAUACCGAUGGCGAAGGCAGCUCCCUGGCAUCAUACUGACACUGAGGUGCGAAAGCGUGGGUAGCAAACAGGAUUAGAUACCCUGGUAGUCCACGCCGUAAACGAUGUCUACCAGUCGUUGGGUCUUUUAAAGACUUAGUGACGCAGUUAACGCAAUAAGUAGACCGCCUGGGGAGUACGGCCGCAAGGUUA
RNAcentral lists this ribosomal RNA (549 nucleotides) under uncultured bacterium. RNAcentral's name for it is "bacterial SSU rRNA". It matches the Rfam family "Bacterial small subunit ribosomal RNA", at positions 355 to 896 of the family's 1533-position model. The record is from RNAcentral.